UAGGGAAUCUUCCGCAAUGGGCGAAAGCCUGACGGAGCAACGCCGCGUGAGUGAUGAAGGUCUUCGGAUCGUAAAACUCUGUUACUAGGGAAGAACAAAUGUGUAAGUAACUAUGCACGUCUUGACGGUACCUAAUCAGAAAGCCACGGCUAACUACGUGCCAGCAGCCGCGGUAAUACGUAGGUGGCAAGCGUUAUCCGGAAUUAUUGGGCGUAAAGCGCGCGUAGGCGGUUUUUUCAGUCUGAUGUGAACGCCCACGGCUCAACCGUGGAGGGUCCUUGGAAACUGGAAAACUUGAGUGCAGAAGAGGAAAGUGGAAUUCCAUGUGUAGCGGUGAAAUGCGCAGAGAUAUGGAGCAACACCAGUGGCGAAGGCGACUUUCUGGUCUGUAACUGACGCUGAUGUGCGAAAGCGUGGGGAUCAAACAGG
This 429-nucleotide ribosomal RNA is filed under the name Actinomycetes bacterium. RNAcentral describes it as "Actinobacteria bacterium partial 16S ribosomal RNA". It matches the Rfam family "Bacterial small subunit ribosomal RNA", at positions 355 to 776 of the family's 1533-position model. Lineage: Bacteria; Bacillati; Actinomycetota; Actinomycetes. The record is from RNAcentral.